GAUGAACGCUGGCGGCGUGCUUAACACAUGCAAGUCGAACGGGAUCCCAGGAGCUUGCUCCUGGGUGAGAGUGGCGAACGGGUGAGUAAUGCGUGACCGACCUGCCCCAUACACCGGAAUAGCUCCUGGAAACGGGUGGUAAUGCCGGAUGCUCCGACAUGACGCAUGUCGUGUCGGGAAAGAUUCAUCGGUAUGGGAUGGGGUCGCGUCCUAUCAGGUAGUCGGCGGGGUAACGGCCCACCGAGCCUACGACGGGUAGCCGGCCUGAGAGGGCGACCGGCCACAUUGGGACUGAGAUACGGCCCAGACUCCUACGGGAGGCAGCAGUGGGGAAUAUUGCACAAUGGGCGCAAGCCUGAUGCAGCGAUGCCGCGUGCGGGAUGACGGCCUUCGGGUUGUAAACCGCUUUUGACUGGGAGCAAGCCCU
Molecule: ribosomal RNA, 427 nt
Filed under: uncultured bacterium
Lineage: Bacteria
Description: bacterial SSU rRNA
Rfam family: Bacterial small subunit ribosomal RNA
Source: RNAcentral